This 394-nucleotide ribosomal RNA is filed under the name uncultured Ruminococcus sp. RNAcentral describes it as "bacterial SSU rRNA". It matches the Rfam family "Bacterial small subunit ribosomal RNA", at positions 28 to 417 of the family's 1533-position model. The record is from RNAcentral. Lineage: Bacteria; Bacillati; Bacillota; Clostridia; Eubacteriales; Oscillospiraceae.
GACGAACGCUGGCGGCACGCUUAACACAUGCAAGUCGAACGGAGAUAAUUUGAGUUUACUUGGAUUAUCUUAGUGGCGGACGGGUGAGUAACACGUGAGCAACCUGCCUUUGAGAGAGGGAUAGCUUCUGGAAACGGGUGGUAAUACCUCAUGACAUAAUUGAAGGGCAUCCUUUAAUUAUCAAAGAUUUAUCACUCAAAGAUGGGCUCGCGUCUGAUUAGAUAGUUGGUGAGGUAACGGCUCACCAAGUCGACGAUCAGUAGCCGGACUGAGAGGUUGAACGGCCACAUUGGGACUGAGACACGGCCCAGACUCCUACGGGAGGCAGCAGUGGGGAAUAUUGCACAAUGGGGGAAACCCUGAUGCAGCGAUGCCGCGUGGAGGAAGAAGGUUU